AUUGAACGCUGGCGGCAGGCCUAACACAUGCAAGUCGAACGAGUGGCGGACGGGUGAGUAAUGUCUGGGGAACUGCCCGAUAGAGGGGGAUAACUACUGGAAACGGUGGCUAAUACCGCAUACUAUCGGAUGUACCCAUAUGGGAUUAGCUAGUUGGUGGGGUAACGGCUCACCUAGGCGACGAUCCCUAGCUGGUCUGAGAGGAUGAUCAGCCACACUGGAACUGAGACACGGUCCAGACUCCUACGGGAGGCAGCAGUGGGGAAUAUUGCACAAUGGGCGCAAGCCUGAUGCAGCCAUGCCGCGUGUAUGAAGAAGGCCUUAGGGUUGUAAAGUACUUUCAGCGGGGAGGCGUUACCCGCAGAAGAAGCACCGGCUAACUCCGUGCCAGCCGCCGCGGUAAUAC
Molecule: ribosomal RNA, 406 nt
Filed under: uncultured bacterium
Lineage: Bacteria
Description: partial 16S ribosomal RNA
Rfam family: Bacterial small subunit ribosomal RNA
Source: RNAcentral